RNAcentral lists this ribosomal RNA (494 nucleotides) under uncultured bacterium. Its description in RNAcentral is "partial 16S ribosomal RNA". It matches the Rfam family "Bacterial small subunit ribosomal RNA", at positions 28 to 507 of the family's 1533-position model. The record is from RNAcentral.
GACGAACGCUGGCGGCGUGCUUAACACAUGCAAGUCGAACGGUGAAGCGCCUUCCUUUUUGGUGGGUGUGGAUGAGUGGCGAACGGGUGAGUAACACGUGAGUAACCUGCCCCCUUCUUCUGGAUAACCGCAUGAAAGUGUGGCUAAUACGGGAUAUUCUGGGUCUGUCGCAUGAUGGGUCUGGGAAAGAUAUUGUUUCGGUGGGGGAUGGGCUCGCGGCCUAUCAGCUUGUUGGUGGGGUGAUGGCCUACCAAGGCGGUGACGGGUAGCCGGCCUGAGAGGGUGGACGGUCCCACUGGGACUGAGCCACGGCCCAGACUCCUACGGGAGGCAGCAGUGGGGAAUAGUGCACAAUGGGCGCAAGCCUGAUGCAGCGACGCCGCGUGAGGGAUGGAGGCCUUCGGGUUGUGAACCGCUUUCGCCAGUGAAGCAGGCCUGCCUCGUUUGUGGGUGGGUUGACGGUAGCUGGAUAAGAAGCGCCGGCUAACUACGUG